RNAcentral lists this non-coding RNA (86 nucleotides) under Gallibacterium salpingitidis. The record is from RNAcentral. Lineage: Bacteria; Pseudomonadati; Pseudomonadota; Gammaproteobacteria; Pasteurellales; Pasteurellaceae.
GUCAAUGAUGGGCUAGGUUGGAGGAUCGAAAGAUCCGCCGUAACUCACGUAACGGUAAGGCUAAUCCAAUCUAGUUCAUCACCAAU